Molecule: ribosomal RNA, 459 nt
Filed under: uncultured bacterium
Lineage: Bacteria
Description: partial 16S ribosomal RNA
Rfam family: Bacterial small subunit ribosomal RNA
Source: RNAcentral
CCUACGGGAUGCAGCAGUGAGGAAUAUUGGUCAAUGGGCGGGAGCCUGAACCAGCCAAGUCGCGUGAGGGAAGAAGGUACAGCGUAUUGUAAACCUCUUUUGUCAGGGAACAAAGGCGGGGACUAGUCCCCGGCUGAGGGUACCUGAAGAAAAAGCAUCGGCUACCUCCGUGACAGCAGCCGCGGUAAUACGGAGGAUGCGAGCGUUAUCCGGAUUUAUUGGGUUUAAAGGGUGCGCAGGCGGCAUGUUAAGUCAGCGGUAAAAGCUCGGGGCACAACCCCGGCCAGCCGUGGAAACUGGUGGGCUGGAGUUGGAGAGAAGGACGCGGAAUGCGCGGUGUAGCGGUGAAAUGCUUAGAUAUCGCGCAGAACCCCGAUUGCGAAGGCAGCGUAUCGGCUCCACACUGACGCUGAGGCACGAAAGCGUGGGGAUCGAACAGGAUUAGAUACCCCAGUAGUC